ACUCAAUAGAUACCCAGGUAGUCCACGCCCUAAACGAUGUCUACUAGUUGUCGGGUCUUAAUUGACUUGGUAAACGCAGCUAAACGCGUGAAGUAGACCGCCUGGGGAGUACGGUCGCAAGAUUAAAACUCAAAGGAAUUGACGGGGACCCGCACAGGCGGUGGAUGAUGUGGAUUAAAUUCGAUGCAACGCGAAAAACCUUACCUACCCUUGACAUGGAAGGAAUCCCUGAGAGAUCGGGGAGUGCUCGAAAGAGAACCUUUACACAGGUGCUGCAUGGCUGUCGUCAGCUCGUGUCGUGAGAUGUUGGGUUAGGUCCCGCAACGAGCGCAACCCUUGUCAUUAGUUGCUACGAAAGGGCACUCUAAUGAGACUGCCGGUGACAAACCGGAGGAAGGUGGGGAUGACGUCAAGUCCUCAUGGCCCUUAUGGGUAGGGCUUCACACGUCAUACAAUGGUACAUACAGAGGGCCGCAACCCGCGAGGGGGUAGCUAAUCCCAGAAAGUGUAUCGUAGUCCGGAUUGUAGUCUGCAACUCG
This 539-nucleotide ribosomal RNA is filed under the name uncultured bacterium. RNAcentral describes it as "bacterial SSU rRNA". It matches the Rfam family "Bacterial small subunit ribosomal RNA", at positions 772 to 1314 of the family's 1533-position model. The record is from RNAcentral.